AUAUAUAUCUAUUCCGAUCCAGAUACAUUCAGAAUUUCUGAUACAGUAAAUGGGGAUUGUAUAACAUGAAAACAUUAUACGAUGUUCUGAACAUUAUCGUUAUAAUUCCACAUGAAAAUCUUGUUAUUCUCUUCUGUUUCUCCAAUGCAAAUAUAUAGCACGUCAGAAGACGAUACCCGAGCUCGUUGACUCUACGAUGUAUUGCGGAACGAAAGUUCCUGCUUUACAUGAAAAUUAUGUUCACUAUCUGAUGCAAGAGGCAAAAGCCGACAUGCCGCGUUGUAGGGAAACGUCGCAGUAUCUGACUUAGUUUCACCUCCGCGCAGCACGGGGAUGCCAAUAAAAUUCCGCCGUAGUCCUCGGCUACGUAGAAAACUAGGACAUAGAUCUCGCCCGACAAGCGAAGACGUAGAGACUACGCAUUUGCAUCUUUCAACGACCGUACGUCAUAUUCAUAUUAUCACUUUGUAAGACGGUCGCCAUCGCGCGUUUAUGCCGUCGCGUAAUAUCCGAUGACUGUUCCAAUGAUAUCGCUGCGACUCAUUUAACAGCAGACAUUUUUCAUGGCUAUCACUUUGUUUCUUGUGCGUACCGAAUAAUAUGUGUGAGAAAACUAUGAACUCUGGUAUACGAGUAGAUUUUCCCCUCGGGAUUAAAGAUCGUCUAAAACAGAAGAUCCAAAACGAGAAGCCGAUCCGCCGAAAUGUCGUUCGAUUCCGAGGGUGCUAGAUUAGAUUGACAGUGCGCGUAUCGGCUCGAUGUAAAAGAGCGCAUGGCAUAAAGAGGCGCGACGUAACCGACGUUAUCGUGUGGGUGUAGACGAUACUAUCUCUAAAGUCCGUCGCGAGGGCAUUGCACCGUGCGUGUGUACGCGCGACGGAGGACUUGCAUCACUUAGUUCGCUCCUUUAAGACUCCUUAGUCUUCCUCGGUACGGCCGUCGCCGUACGCGCCGCCUUCGCCGUCGUUGUCGUCGUCGCUGUCGUCGGCGCCGUCGUCGACGUCGUUAAAUUGACACGCUCGCACCUGCGGCGAUCCCCGAGACUCAUUUUCAGGUGGCACCGUGCCACAUCUCCCUUCACGUGACACUGAACGCCGCGAGAGAACGCUGAAUCUCGCGAUACAAAAUCGCAACGUAAAUAAAAAUUAAACAUAGAGAAAAUUCCUACAUAAAAUAGAGUAUUAAGGGGAUGCUAAAGUGCCCGUCAAACUUGAUCGGGGUCGAUAAUGCAGAAUCAUUUGUGCAUAUCAUUAACAAGAUUUCGUAUGUAUUUCUUUUACAGAUUUGAAAAUCCUUUUCCAGAAUUAAAAUACACGUAUUAAUAUUAUUAUAUGAACUAGACUUUAUACCGAAAGUUAAAAAAAAAUUAUUUUAAACUGUUCUUUUUCUGACCUAUAUCUGAAUUUGCAAUUAUAAAAAGUUAAAAAAGCUAAUCUUUUUUUCUAGACUUUUAAUCUUAGUUUGAAUUGCACGAUAUUGUUCGUAUAUCCUAGAGGAAUACGGUUUUAUUUUGUAUCGUAGAUAAUAGAUUUUGUAUACUAAGCAAAUAUUAUCAAGUGAAAGCUAUACUACCAAAAAAAAAAAAAAAUUUUUUUUUAUUUUUGAUAUCAACUCGACCAUAUUCCUCUAGAUUUUGAUGCGCACUUUAAUUCUGUGAAAGACUUUUGCGAUUUUAUAAAGCCAAUUAGAAGAUUAGUUUAUUUAAAAAAUAUAAUAAAAUGACAUUUAGACAACUUUAGGAUUCCCUUAAACAUUUUUAUUUCAAAUAGAUCUUUCUGAUAAAUCAGUUGACAUUUUCUAUGCAAAGAUGUCGAGACGUUAAUAAUCUUUAAAUUUAAAGUGAACAGUCAAAAGACUUUUCACAGACGAGUGAACGAAAAUAUAAGGUCUUAUUUUACAAUUAUUUUAUCAGAAUUUUCAAUCUUAAACACCGGUACAUUUAAUAUCGUAUAUUAUUUACGUCUGAAAUUUAAAUAUAUACGAUAUUGACUAAAUUUUGAAGUUGUUUCAACAUGCUCGCAUGAUAAAAACAAGUGUUCAGACAGAUAUUAAAUGUAAAAUAAUCAAAGAACUUAACCUAAACUGGAGAAAGGUUUCAAUAUCGAAAUACAAGUGGUUUCUGUCUCGCGGAUUUUAUUGUUAUCCCUGUCAUCAGAUUUCUAGUUUCUACGACUUAGUAAAGCUUAUCUAGGCAUUUUUCGUACUAGACAGAGAGAGAGAGAGAGAGAGAGAUACCGGUUCGUCCCUCAUUGAAGUAUCAAGUCAUCGGUACACCGGCUGUAUUCUACAGCGGGUAAUCUCGACCUCGUCAUCAGCGGCAAAUAUCGAUGUCCCAGACGAUAAGAUUCUGCAGACGGACGCGGCAUAACGGGACGCGCAAACGAGUCGCGGCAAGUGAUGCCGCGUAGCGAUUUUUACGUUAAUUAUCAUCGCGAUCUUCCCACCGCGAUGACCGAGCGGUGCAUUAAACGUAGCGCAAGUAGUGUAAUAUAUCCGCGGAACUCGUACAUCGCCGCUGCCGCGAUAUACAAAAGUAAACAGGAAGAUAUCAGCCACGCGUCUAAGCGUAAAUCGUACAUUGCGAGUUAAUUAUUAUCAUACGCGACCGCCUGGGAAAUAAACAAGCAUUACAAGCUCGCUGGCUCGACGCAGUCUCUUAAUCUGUAUAAUCAGCCGCUCGAUAAGCGAUUGCAAUAGACAAGAUUUACACCGAGACGACACACGUUGCCACCCCCUCCCCUUCCGCAACUGUAAAACAAGAUCUCACGUCAAGGAAAAUUAUACGAAGCAGCUGUUCCUCUCGUUAGCAUCCGGGAUUAUUUGCGUUUUCUAGUACCGGCAUCACCCAGCAUCACCAAUAUCACUGACAAGCGCGCGCAAUAAUUUCACUUGGGCGGCAUCCGAAUCGUUAAAAUCGCCGUAAUUAAUGUCAAACCGUCCACCGCACACGGACACAUGGAGGAUUAUAAUAGCUUCGCCUUCAAAUAUACGUAACGAGCCAUACAUGACGCGCUCGAUGUAUUAUUGCCGACCAUGAGAUACAUGUGCGCGUUUUUACCGAGAUUUUUACCGAGCUUAUUUCAUACUACUUGAUCAGAUUUUCCAAUAUAUUAGCAUCCCUUGAAGGGUUAUCAUGGCUUUCGAAUCACGUUUUCAAACUUUUUGCAUUAAAUUACAAAGUAGUAUUUUAUAUUGUAUAACAAAAUAAAAAAACAUUGAGAAAAGAAAUACAUGAUGUGAAUAUGGAUUACGUUUUGAUGUUUUUUUUUAAUUCUUAAACUUAAAUUACUCGAGUCUUUGGCAUGUGUAUUAUAAAAAAUUAUAACUAUAAUUAUAAUUUUCGGAUAAACAACUUUUUGUUAUAUGACCAAACAAAUCGUUUACAUGCAUUUUAGUAAUGUACAAUCUUAUCGUCAACAAUUUAUACUAACAGGAAUGUAGGUUUUAAUGAUUUAAGCAAAUAUUUAACAUUGAAACUCGAAAAACUACUGAAAAGACUAAUCCAUCAUUUGUUGGCAUAGCAAAAAAAAAAUCAAGUUUCCAAUACGUACCACUACUCUUUUCAUUAAAUAUGAUUGAGCGACCUGCAUGUUCAUUAUUCUAAUUAAAGGCGUCUUUCAACAGGACUCACAGGAUAGAUUGCAACCCAUAUAUUCUGUAGGUACAUUCAUUAUCAUCUGAACUGCUUGAUGCUGUACCCCGUCUAUCUGUACGAUAAAACUUCGGCCUCGACACAGCGUUCCAAAUGAGGAACGUCUAAUAGGCAGCAAUGCUCGCUGCCAAGGAAGGAAGGUUAUCGCGCUCGAUACCAAGGAUCUCUCCGAGGCGUGUUAAUCGCCGAGGGGACCGCGCGGUGACGAUUUGCCAUCGCAUCGUCUUGCUUCGCUUGCAUACGUGCGUACGUGCGUGCUUGCGCGUAUGUGCCGCGCGUGGAAGAGACAACAUCACUCUCUCGUCUCUCGCGCGCCGCGAAGAGGCGUUGCGCGAACAGCGACGACGACGAGAGUGUCGGCAUCUUCGGCGAGGCGACGUGGAGAGUAGUGGUGGUGGUUGGCCACCCCUGGCCUGGAUACCGAGGCGUGUUGUUCACCUCCGUGUGAAAGUACUCGCACGCAUGCACGCACGGACGGAGGCAACGGCCGAGAAGUGUGGGCAGAGCGCGUCAUUCGUCGAUGUAAUGCGUUUACAAUAGAGGACACGGUUGUUUUGCAGUUUCGGUAUCCUUCAAGAAAGUAUUCUCGACCUCAUCUCCGCCGCGGUUAAUAUGAAACGAUUACGAAACGAUAAUGAAAGAUACACUACUUUACUUAAUUGAUGUUUUCGUAUUAUUCGCUUUUACGCGGAUUGCCGCGGCGGAAUGAGGUCUGCGGGUGGUCUUUAAUGGAGAAAAAUAAAUUACACGGGAAUUAUAUUUUCGGUUUGUUAAUACUCCGAGAUGUAUAAGAAAUGUAUAAGAAUUCCCAGAAGUGUAUGCACUUUUAUUAAUAUUGAAAUCUCAUUAACUCGCGAUCUCUUUGGUAUAGGAAACCUUUUUUGUUCCCCCCGCACUUUCGGUACUCACGUGCCGGGUUGAAACUUAUACUCGGGAUUAUUUAUCCUUAAACCUAAGUAAUUAAACACGGAAACGAAAUUGAUUCGCGGGAUAAAAAUAUCCGAAAGGAAAGUGUCUUGUUAAACUUCUCUUACGGAAGACGCUCGAGGAACGCGUCAGCUGGAAGAUCUGCGCUCAUACAAGUUAAUUAUAUAAACAAGUACAUAAAAGUAUGCGUCGUCACGUAGUUGCCGAGUAGUUCGAGCGAAACGAUUUGUCAACGGGGUGAUUGUAUUGACUGCUCGCAUUUCCGAUUACGAAAUUUCGUCGGCGGUUUGACGUAAGUGCUCGGAGCUGGUCCCAAACUGGGUGUCUGUCUCUCGCUCUCGUUGCCAGUCCUCCCGGUCCCGUUUCGUCGUCCUCCCUUUCGCCCCGCCCUCAGCCCCUUCGCGGCGGCAAACGUUCUCCCCCUCUCGCCGUCACGCACUUCCGUCGCCGUCUUUACGUCGCCGUUCUCCACAGCUGCCCGGCCGCGACAUAACCGAAAGGACCACAUAGGAGCGGAGUGAUGUACCGUUACGUGGUAGAAUGGCGGUUGGUUGUUAGUGUGGCAGUGUGUUAGCCGGGCAGGAUCACCGUGGGUAGGUAGGUUGGUAGGUAGGCAGGCAGGCAGGCAGGCAGCGCGUGCGCGCGUGCGUGCCGGUCCGCGUGCUGCUGAUGUGGGUGUACGGUGAAGGUAAUGCGAACGGGAAACGCGAGGACGAAGACGACGUGGAGAGGACGAGGAAGAUCUACUACGGACCACCUCACCUAGGAGGUGGUGAGGACGCAACAGCUGUGCGCUGUUCGUAGGUAGUCGGGGAACCUGUCCCUACAAAUCUUUAUAACCGCUACUACCAUUCGUUCUCUCCCGCCAUUCACCUCUUUAUCCAUUUUAUCCUAUCCUCUCAUGUCUCUAUGUCCCUCUCUCACCCCUCUCUCUCUCUCUCUCUCUCUCUUCUCGUUUCUCAUUCUCUGUUCUUCUUCUCUUACUGAUGCCAGCCUUGGCGCACGAUAUACAUCAAAAUCCCUUCGCGGGUAUUAUAAUAUGAUAUACCAGGCACUCCUGGGACGAAGUAAUUCCAAGAUUUCAACGCGAUCGUAAAAACGUCGACUGAUCAAAAUUAGAGAGAAUUAUUCUCUGAAUAACGAGUCUCUUUCCAAGAAGUGUGAAAGAUAUGCGAUUGCUCUUAUUAUUGUCGCAAAAUUAGAGAAAAAUUGUUAAAAAUUAUCACAGAGAACAAGAAAUCUAACCUCUGAUGCAUGUGUAUUUACACGUUGUACACAUAAAGUGUAGAUUAAAUAUUAAUAUCUGUCACAUAUUAGAUUUCUCAAAAAAAGAAAAUUAAUGUCUCAUUUUUAAUUUAAAUUUUCUUUGACGAAAACAUUAGUCAAACUUAGGAUGACCCUAGAAAAAGUUUAAUUAAAUUGGAGAUUAAAAAAUGUUAAUUACAUUUUUUUGAGGUCCACACGAUUACAUAAGAUGGACUUUUUCGGUUAAUUUUCUACAAGAGAAUUCAACAAAUAUAUCGAGUAUGACGAAAGUCACGCACCGUGUGAUCUCAGAAAUAUCCGGGACAAGCUCACCAUUACGUGACAAGCUCAACAUAUUCGGGAUGAAGAUUAAUCUUUUACUCGUCGCGAUGCAAAUAUUUGCGCCUCAACGAGUUGUCCCACUGUGAGUGACUCCAGCUGUCACGUACAACUCGAUAUAUUGCGCUGUCAAUGGGGUUCAAAAUUCUGCGCAACUAAUAAAAACAGAUCAUUAGAUUCAUCUAUGCAAGAGAAAGAGAGAGAAAGAGAGAGAGAGAGAGAGAGAGAGAGAGAGAGAGAGAGAGAGAAUGUUUCGACAAGUCGUUCCGCUCGAUACAAUCUGACAGUGUUCAAAUGCCUAAUUUAAUCUGGCUGUCAAGGGCUUAAUUGCGAAGGAGGAAAAAGCUCCGCUGUGAACGUCAUCGUGAAUAUUAACGUCGUGACUAGCAAUGUCACGACUUAUCGUUGCGAGACGGGCCCUGUUCGCGUUAGCCCUGUCCGUUUCUAUACAAGCAACGUUAAAAGACAAUUAAUCUGAAUAACUCAGCCUAGACCCGAACUCGUGUCCUACAUUUUGUGACGCAGCCACAGUGUGUUUGCACGUUGGACACUUCUAAUCGAGAAUAACCAAGAUGACGCAGUUAAGAUAUGGUUAUAAUUAGAAUAUGGUUAUAUAGUUGUAGACUUUGCAUAGAACAUCAUAACAAGACGCGAUAUGCAGCUCAGAUCGGUUAUAAAGGGUAACAUAAAUCGGACAAAAUUGAUCGACGGUAUAUGUGAUCAUAAUAGAUAUUCAAUUUAUAAUAAUACAUCUAAUAAUAGAUUCAAUUUAAUAAUAGAAGUCUAAUUUUCUUCACAAUUCCAGACAUUUUGUAUAAAGACGUGUAUGAUGGACUUAAAAAAGUAUAUGUAAAGAUCAAUACUCACUUCAAUAUUCACUAAAUUUUAGAUUAUUAGUUUAAAUAGAUAACAACGUAGACUUAUAUCUUACUAAUCUGGGUCAAAAAUGAUUUCUAAUUUCUUAUUUUAAAUUUAGUCGUCCUAAUAUUUUAAGACUAUUAAUUUGAAUAUGUAACUCUUAUUUUGAUAGAAUUUUUUUCAUUAUGCUCAAGUUAUUUGCUUUUUAGUUAUACAAGUAUAAGUUACAUCUUAUAACACAAAUCAGUUGUAAGUAAAUAUAAUACAAGAACAAUUAAAUAUUUAAAAUACCAAAGUUAUUAAAUAUAUAAUAAAAACGAUUAGUCAAGAAGCUGCUCUAAAUUACGUUUAAAUACAUACUUUAUAUAUAGCAAACAGUUACCAUACAGCAUCUUACUCAUGGUUAAUUCAUUUUAGACAUUGGAAUUCUUGAUACACUAUUGAUAAUAAAUGUCGCUUGAUGCAAAGCGGCGCUUUCGUAACGAAUGGCCUGCAGUUUAUAAAGAUUCCACUGUUUUGGCAAUGAUACGACAGUACGACAAGCAUUGAUUAUACACACUCCUCUAAGCGUUUCAGCCGUAUAUCGAUGAAAUUUAUAUCUUCUCAGUUUAUUAGCUAACUACAUCUAACCGGCGCGAAGAAGUUAUUUCUCGCGAUAACAUCGAGAGAGAGAGAGAGAUGUUCGCCACUGGCUUAACCGGCUCCUCGCCAACAUCUAACCGUAUCCUGCAAGCUAAUCUGCAUCGCCUGCUCGAAAUAACAUUACCGCCACCUCGAGAUUGGAGUUUAAUGCCGCCGAUCGUUACCGCUCUAUCGAAACGCUCGUCUUCCGGCGUGUGAUACUCCGUCAAAUAGUAUAGAAAACGCCGCUCGCGCUGUUUUAUUCUCCUCGCCACCCUGGUUGCGUGCGCGAUCGUAAAAUCUAAGAUCGAGGAUACAUAAAAGAUGCGGGAGAGCCAUAAAAUUUCGUUAGCCGAUCUGAUACGGAACGGGUGAGAGAAGGUAACGGGCGUCGCGUCGAAUGAGAGAGAGAGAGAGAGAGAGAGAAGGGGGAGAGGAGAAAAAAGGGGCCGAAACUUAUCCGAAAUUCCACCGCGAGAGGUUACGCCGCGUUCCUGACUCUCUGCCCCCUUCACUCCCUUCUCGCACGAGCGAGGAGACUCUCACCUCCCGAUUCCCGAUAAACUUGAGAUUUGAAGGACGUAGACCGGGCAGCGACGCAUAAAGUGAAGAGACACGGCAACGUAAAAGGUUUGGAAAGUCCGAUAACGAACGCGACGGCGCGGGGUCGCGCGUGGGUGUCGGUGGAAUUGAUCGUGCCCCCGCUUGGCUAGUCCAGCCACGUUGUGGACCCGCGCCAAGAACCAGCCGGGGCCGUUCCUGUUCCCGGGCGAGCGUCGCCUUCGUAGCCGGCGGCCCAAACAAUGUGUCCGAGUCAACAAGGUGACAACGCGAGACCCCUCUUUCAAAGAGCCUGCCCUCUCUCAUCGCCGUCUCUUAUCACAAAAAUUCCAUUUCAAGUCUGCCGCUCAAAGUUCCUGACCCGACGCAAGGCGACACCUCGAAGGAUUUUACAUUCGGUUCGAACUCUACGUUUUUCUUUCGAUAAUCUUUGAGGAAAGUGUAGAUUGCCCACUUGUAUCGAUCGAAAACCAAUUGAAAUUAUACAAAACGCGGAGGAAGUUAUCGAAAUAAGAAUAGAAACGGGUCAGCGAGUCUCUACGUAAACUUUUAAGUCGCGCGUAUUCCAGCGACCGAGAUUUCGGAGGAAGAUGUGCGGGCAAAUGGAUAACGCGGAGAUAUUAGAUAAAGCUACAGUCCAGGGGAGAGUUAUGAAACUACCGGCGCAAAGCCGUGAGUCGGGACGGUCGAAUCUUUACGAAGCCAAACUUCUAAGCGGGUUCCUUUUUCGAAACAAAACGGGCAAAGGCGCAUUCCCCAACGAACGUCAGACGAUGCUUCACAAUGGCGUCUGAGAUAGUCUGAUGAGGUUAUUUGUUACAUUGUUCGGAUAUAAUGGAGUGGGCCUUGCAACGAAUCGCUCUGAUCCCCCUUUCUGGCGCUCGAAGGAUCUCUCUGGACGAACCUUUGACGAUGCGUUAGCCCGCCGCUGGUCUCAGGGUCAACCGAAAAUUUUAGACAAAAUAAAUUUCUAAGUAAUUAUAUCUCUCUUACAGUUUCAAGAAUAGGACACAAAUUCCAGAGAUUUAAUGAAAUUUGACAAAUAAACUCAAAUAAUAUGAAAGAAAAAAAGAAGUGUGCGGUAAGCAGAUAUAAAUAUCUACUACAGCUAAAAAUAAGACUUUCACGGCAGAUCCAGUCGAAUCCAGAUUACAAAAAACAUGUCCACAUUUAGUGAUAUAAAUGUCGAUUGUAAACUUUUUCUUGUUAAAUAUGAAAGAAAUUGGUAGUCUUUCUUUAAUUCUCGUUGUUUGUGAAUAUUUUCCAGAUAACUUACAAUUAAUUCUAAAAGAUGCGACGAUUUCGGAGAAUCACUCGGAAUAAACACGAAAUCGCAAGCGUACCGUGUGGUAUAAUGUGAGCGUGUCGCGUUUCAAGAUAUCCGCAAACGUCGCUACGGCCCCCGUUUACAAUUGCGAGUUAAAACGCAAGUUAAUAAAGUACGUAAAUCGCGGCGCAGUAAAUGAAACAACGGCAUUAAGCUCCUGUUAUCGCGAUCUUUAUGCGAUGCCGACAGAACCCGCGGGAGAACAUACACCGAGGGAGAGAAGAACGAGAGAAGGGAGAGAGAGAGAGAAAAGUUCUCCGUCUGCGCGAUUAUCUUACGAUCGGAUUGCCCGACGACGACCCGACAUCCUUGACCCGCGAACAAAUCUUACGGACUCUGUCGACCCAAAGACUCUCCUCUGAGCCGCGACCUGGGGGACCCGGGGUCUCGAGGUUCGAAGCAACGGUGCCACGUGUACAUGUCUCGCGCCCGGUACACCCGCGCGUACACACAUACGCAUAUGCAUAUACACGUAUCCUCGACGCGCCGAUACGGGAAACCGCAUUCGAACGAACAAAGAGGAUCACCCCCCGUCCGCCCGUCCGUCCGUCCGUUCGUCCGCGAGGAGGAGCCGCCAAGGACUCCGGCGGCAAUUAAUUCUUCGUCACUGGCUUGCGAUAGGUGGACGUUCGACGGGGCAGAAUAAAGGAGAAAGCAUUGCAGGUAGAAAGAGCGAAGAAAAUGAACAAAAGAAAAUAGAGGAAAAGAAAAAGCGAGAAGGAAAAGGGGAACCGGCGAGAGAAAAGGAUAGAGAAAAGCGGAACAUCCGCGGACCCCUGGAGACGAAUGAGCAUGCAUAUACGUAGUAUACGUCAAGCCACUGUCGGACAGCGUGUGCAUAAUUGAGUACGCGCGCGAGUGCGAGCGUGCGUGAGUGUGUCUACUACGUGUACGUGUACAACCCGAAAUAAGCGUUACGCGUACAUACGCGAGAGCGCGUGUGCGAUCGGACUGUCGGGGGGAGGGGGGGGGAGGGGGAGUGUCUGGUCUCGCCCGGCGUUGAAUGCGCUGUGUAAUCACCACCUACCAUGUAAACGCCCCGGCAAUGGUAAUAGCUCGUUUAGAGCACUCACAUGCGGUUAAUUUCGCGAUUCCUCACCGGCACCGCACUGCACCGCGCCGAGCGACGUUCGAAGGAGGUUUUCCUCCUCCGGUCCUCGAUGGUUGGCUUCGAGGAUGGGGGAGGGAAACGCUAAAAGGGACGAAAAGAAAUAGCGACGAUGUCCUUCGUCCCGAUCGGAGAUAUUUCUAUUUUCGUAAAGCGACGCGCGAAGGCUCGUGUGUCGAAUCGCUAGGCAGUCCCGCGAAUCGAUUGGACCCGCGAGAUCCGUCGUGCUGACGGUAUCGCGACACAUCUCGGAUCGAGACGAAUUUUUGAGGGUUCAACUGAUGGACGCGGCGAUGUGCGAAUCGGCAACGCUUGUUUCGGCAGAGACCAUUUCGGCCGGCCGCCCGUCGUAAAUCACUUUUCGCAAAAGCCUUCGCGUGCGGGUGGUCCUGUCGCGGUUGAUUCGCGAGAAUGCAGCCGCACACGGCACAAAAACGCGAUUAACUCUUUAGCGUCCUUUUAAAAUCCGAGUCUGUAUAUUAUAAAUAUUAUAUAGCUUGAGAGUCGAUCCAUAACGGAAAGGAAUGUUGAGACAUCAAGUAGUCUCUAGGCGAUAAGGGCGAUUCUUUAACGGACCGUUACAUCACGGAUAGAUAAAUAUUUGAAGUCGUACGUUAAACAACUAUACGACGGAAGACCGAACCGCGUUUAAAUCAGUGAACGGUCUGUGUAGAUAAGAGGAAGGUUGGGAAAUGUCGUACAUCAAACAUAAUCGAUAGACAUACUUUUUAUUUAUCUAUCAUACCAGUUUUUCGGUGAGGUUUUAGAUUAAUUAUCUGGCUUUCAUAAUCUCACACGAAUUAGGAUUUUUCAUCGAUUUGUCCCGGAACCCGGUUUAUAUUAUGAAAUCGAUGUGCACCGUAUUUCCCAGAAAGAAACUGAAUUAGCAUAGAUAGAGCAUCGUAACCAUUGUUGGAGAGAAGCGGUAUUUUCGUAUUUUAGAAAGCAAGCUGACGCUGAUAUUGUUUUAUUCCGCGGCACGCUGGUCGCGGAGAGUACGGCAUUGCUGAUUAGAAUUCCUAGCCGGAAGUAGGCCGCGGGAGGCACUGCAACAUUGUAUUAUUGCCAAGUCAUUCCGCUGAUGUUGUACUUCGUCAAUUCCUAUUAUUCCCCACCUUCCCACGUCUUACAUCCGCCCGCGGAGCAAAUGCUCUUCCUUCCGCUUCGCUCGAGACCUGCAUUCAAGAGUAGCUGUGACACAGUUUGCGUGUAUCGCGCUGCUUAUUGCGCUUAUUGCCGGAGUCAGUAUCUCGUCCACUUCGUUCUUCCAACGACCCCACGAGCAAGAUAUCCCAAUAUCUUAGUGCGCAUGCAAACGCGAUGCCAAAUCGAUCGUUCGGGACUCUACAUGAGACUCCACUUUUGUCUUAUAUUAAAAUCAAAUUUUCCUCUCGCAAAAAAUAGAUUUAGAAAUUAAAGCAGAGAGAGACAGACAGACAGAUAGAAACGGAGAGAGAGAGAGAGAGAGAGAGAGAGAGAAACAAUGAUAAUCAUUUUACAAAUUUGCUCCAGUUUCCAAAGUAGAAAUGUAAAACUCCGUGCAACACAGCAAUAUAAAAUUUGUAAGUUGCAAUGAAACCUACGUUGAGAAUCGUUUUUCAAAUUUAAACGAAUUUCAGAGCGGCAUGUACGACGUAAAGAUGAUCAGCGUUGCGGACGGAAUAUUAAUUAUGCAAUAUCGGCUUAAUGACAACCGUAGAUGGAUACAUUUCGAACAAGGGCACAGUCCUCCAGACGGUAUAUCCCCGAUAUUAAUAGCCAUCGAUAACAAUCACGCUAAUAACGUCGACGCAGCCCGACGCCACAAUGCGUCAAUAAGGCUGAGUUGCAGAAACGCGAUAUCUCGGGUUUGCAUUUAAUACCGCGCCGUCAUUACAAUCACUGUGUACAGUUAUCCUCGACCCCGUGUCCCGCCGUACUCCCGGAAUAUUCCCGCGAUGUAACAGCGGAACGCACUUUACGCUUUCAUCACGGGGGCGUGUAAUUAACGUGCAAUUCAAGCUCCUUCUGGAAAAUGCACGUUCGCUUCAUUUGGCGAAAGGCAAUAUGUUCAGCGUGCGCCAAGGAUAUUUACAAUGCGCCGGUAUGCGACGAGGAGGAGCGAGAACGUUACUGAAGGAAUGCCCGGUACGACGUGUUCCUGGUUUGCCGCAUUCUUCUGUACACAUCUGCUCACGUCCUUUAUCAGCGCAUUUAAUGCCAGGCGCAAUUCCCGAAUCCGUUUUAGUCGUUUUAACACUUGAUUAUGCUCGAUGUGUGUAGGUCUAAUAUAAUAGAAAUAAUAAAAAUAUGAUUCUUUUAUAAGUUUCCCCAAUUAAUAGAUAUGCUAUAAAAAAUCAUAUUUAUAAGUACUACAUAGAAUAUUGCAAUUUAUCUUAUUAUAUCUUGUCAAUCAUUUGCAAGUGUAUAGAUAAAUUAUGUACGCAAAAUAUUCGAGAAAAGGUCUCUAUUGUCGGUAAAGAAGACUGUGGCAGCAACUAACUGUAUCUCUAAAAAAUUCAAAGAGUGAAAGUAUUAUAUGUAGACGAAAAAACGGCAUCGCGUCUUUCUCUCUGCCUCUUACAUUUUAGGUAUGCGUGACCUCGAAAUCCGGGGUGAAGCACCUCGUAACUAUGAGGCUAGCGCCUUAACCCGUGGAAGGGCCUUAACAAGGGCCUCGCAUGACAUUCCUUCGGGACCUAGUUAGGCCCGGGGCUACAGUUAGCCGCGGGGAUGGAUCUCGGCGUACUUGUAUCGGUAUCGCCAUGUGUAUCCUUUACCUACACCAACGCCGGAGAGCACUAAAGUGACCAACCGGUCACCUGGGAACUCGUCAAGCAUCUGAGAACGUACCAGAGACGAGUCGACCGUAACUAUAAGACCGGCGUCGUCACGGCCACCGUCGUCGCGCGAUCCGCAGGUGCGCCAUGAUCGGCCCGCAAGUAAACGCGUGAAUAUACAUAGAUCGCAUACACACAAGCAUACCUGCGGCCGGCCGCCCUGAGUUCCACCACAAUUCGCGACAUGUGGACGUGCGGUGUCGUGUUCGAUCAGCCGGACCUCUCAUGCGCAAACGCGACCCAUCGUUUUCCCGCCGUUCCUUCACACAUCUGUUCCUCUUUCUCAGUAAACUAUUAGCUCGUUGCCUAAACGCUUCUUUCGUAAAGUUUUUAUACCACUAAACAUCUUGAUGAAUUUCAAAUAAAAGGGAAAUGAAUGUAGAACGGAAUGGUCGUGUAUUUAUAUCUCCGAAACUUAAUUUACCUAAAUUCACUCAUCUAUAAUGAUAAAACACUGUAAAGCGCUUUGUUGAUUCAUCAAAAUAAAGAUGACUCUAUCGUAUGUCAAGAGAUCCCUAUAGAAAAAGAGCGACGAUAGUUAUCGGACACCCUGUGUAUGCAAUUACUCUCUCCUUCUCGCGAGUUCUCUCGCCUUCCUCCUCAUGACAUUUCUCCGUCUUCGCAUACACUAGUUUUACCUCCUCGCAAAGAAGUCAGGUGCUUCUCUCUCCUUUCCGUCUCCCUCGCUCUUUUUUCCCUUCCUGGUAAUGCCGUUUCUCCAUCUGUUUGCAAGCAAGCGCAUACCAGUUUACCUUAGAAAAGGAAGGUUCUACUUUCACUCGAGGACUCUCGAUCUACAAACGGGGAGCAGAGGGUGUCGCUCGUCUCGCUAUCGUUGAGGAAAAUAGGCCGACAAGUUUUCAUUCAAUGCCCUUAUGUCAAAGCGCGAAUUAACGGGCUGGCGAGCUGGACAAUAAGCACAUCGAGUAAUCGUAGUUUGAGCCUAAAAUUUCUCUUUUAACGACAGGAAUCACUUUGAGACUUUAUACGAUUUACAUUUGCGUUAAUUAGUCACUGCUAUGUGUAUAAUUAUUACAAAUUUAAUUUAAAUUACUAUUAAAUGUUUAAAUUAUUUUUUUCAACUUUUACUUAAAGCAUAAUAGGCAUUGUUGCGUGCUUAUUUAUAUUGUACAGAGUGUUUCUAAAAUCUGUUCCCUUUAUUCUGAAAACUGGUCGAAAUUAUGAAAAACUGUGAAAUAUGUAUUAAAUCAUUUAGAGAAAUAAUUCUUUCAAGAUGGCAGUAGGAAGAAGAUAGAGUAAAUCCCUCGAAAUAAUUGAACGUGUAUUUCGCGAUUUUUCAUAAUUUUAAACCGUUUCCGAAAUAUAAGGGAUGAGAACGGACUUUAUAGAUUUAUUAUUGUACGACUGCUGAUUAUUGUAAAUUUAAAAACAAAAACGCUAUACGUUGCACUCGAAGAUAUCUUUAUAAAUUUUGAGCUCAUACUCCGUAACAUUUUAAGGCUCAAUUGAUUAAUAUUAAUUCCAGGUCGGAUUUCUGUUGUGCUAUACAGUUUCUAACGACGUAAUCCGGGAUUUGCAAUAAGCCUCGCAGUCUUCAACCUCGCGAGGUGGCAAAUGACAUCGGCGACGGCUGUCCAUUCGUCUUUGUCCUAGUAUAAAGUCGACCGCUAUCUUGACACGUUUGUUAAAGCAGUUACCGGUGACAUACUAAUUGUCCAUAUGUAUUCUCGUUCCCUCUAUAAGGAAGAUUUUCAUUGUUCGUACAAAAGAACAGUAGUAUGUGCAUUUAUGUUGGCAAAUCUCUAUGUCAGAAAUUGCACUGUUACGCAACAGAGACGUUGCAUUGUUAUUCUUAUCGGGAUACGUCCAUUUUCAUGAAAUAUUACAUUUUAUCACACGUUCAUACGCGAAAACGCAAAUAGCAUAUGACGCUUUGAUAAAUAUUUUGUCGUUAACUCUUUGCUGUUGUUUAUUGAUUUAUUGGAGUGUUCGUUUGUACGUAUAAGCGUAAAACGACGAAGUCUUUAAUUACACAGCGAUGUCAUUAAUCCGUUUAUUCGUCUAAUUUUAUUCACCCCGGGUAUCGACGUUAUCUUUUUAUUACAUGCAUUUUAGCUCGGGCUAAACUCUACUAUUAUUAAUUCGAGACGAAGUGAUAAGUAAUAUUAAUAAAAAUAUUCUCUCUCUCUCUCUCUCUCUCUCUCUCUCUCUCUCUUUCUCUCUUGUUCUUUAGAAUUAAUUAGCUUCCAUUACCUGAAUAAAUUAUCUUUGUAAGCGAAAGGCUAAUAAUAAUACAAUAUAAAUUCGAAUGACAAUGUAUUCCUUUCUUUUAAUUUUAAAGUUAGAUCUAUAUAGAAGAAGUCAAUAUAUAAAACUGCUUAAAAAUCAAUGAAAUAUGUCACGAAACAAUUAAGGAUUAGUUGGCGACAGAAUUGUUAUUAAAAAAGUUCAGUAGAAAAGUAAUUUAGUUGUAAAACAAAGAAACCAUUUCCUCAUCCUUCAAAUACGUCUUGCUAUUAGAGGUCAUUGGGUCUGUUAGACUCAACGUUACCACCAAGUUAAUAAGAGCGUUUCUUGGAAGGAUAACAAGCAAUUCUGAAGCACUUCGUGCGUUUAAAAGAAAGAAUAGUAUUCUCCAAUAAGUCAAAUAUAUGUAAAGAAUUAGAAAUGUCUAAAAUAGUUUAUCCAAUCUCCCAUAUAUAUCAAUUAUGCUGAAAGGCUAUUAUAUAUUCGCAAUCAAUGUGUUUCUGAUGUAAUAAUAAUCACCGAUCUUAUUUUUGCGAUUAAUCCUCACACGACGCAUCAAUUUCCGCAAGACCGACCGAGCUCUACUUCUAAACGUCGCAAAAAGUCUUGAGCUCUGACGAGCAGUGCGCGAUGACUUUUUUUCCCUCUCGAUCCGGAUCGAACAGCUCUGCAACAAUAAAAACUACAUCCACAUGGCCCAUACCGCCGCCGCCGCCGCCGCCGCCGCCGCCGUCGCCGUCGUCGUCGAGACGCUCGCGCGGGGGUUUAAAAGGCGCGGUGCAACCCGCGCGCGGAUAUAUAUCCUGCCGCCUCGUUCGCGUUCGUGCAAAUAUUGGCGGGACGUGGAAUUUCGGGUAUAUUUUAAGAGAUUCAUCUGGCGAGAGUCGAAACGUUCCGAGAAGCAAUUUCGAUCUUUACGAUGCUUAUUCUCGAGCGCCGGUGCACCGACGCCCGAAAAACAAGACAGAAUCCGCGUGCAGUCCCCCGCCUUAUCGUCGUCGUCGUAGUCUUCCUUCUCCUCUUCUAUCUUCCAUCUUCAUCAUAUAUUCUUUUCUCUCUUCGAAAAAGUUGCAAGUAAUCCUGAACAACAAUCGGCAUUUCGCAGCUUCUUUUUUUCAAGGUCAGGAAAUCGAUGUACCACCGGUACCGUCGCCAUCGUUCCUUCUCCUCCAUCGCCAUAGUGGUUUUCUCUCGUUCUUCUCCUCCUUCUUCUUCUUUUUCUUCUUCUUCUUCUUUUCCUCCUCCUCCUUCUUCGUCGUCCAUUUCUCGUCUAUCUUUUUUUUUUUCCUCUCCGCCACAGUGAGUCCACGGUGGUUGCGUGUUAAAUGUCAAUGGCGGCGGCGAUCGUCGCAUGUAUGUUUAUCCGAGUGACUGCAUUUGGGCAGCCUUGGUAGGCGCUAAAAUUCUCACUUUCAGCCUCGUUGAGGUCAGCCAGCGCGGACCUAGCCGAAAUUCCGAGCGCUGAUUCAUCGUGGGAUCGCGCGUGAUACCGAGAGAUCCCGAACGGCGAAAGAGACAGAAGAGAGGAAGGAUAGAGGGAGGAGGAGGAGGAGGGAAGGAGGGGGGAGAGAGGGAGAAAGAGAGAGGUAGAGAUUCUCUCGCAAAGCGAGCACACGACGCCGUCGUAUAUUAAUUAUAUCGCGCGAUGCGUCAUGCGGAUCAUACGUUAUGAUUCGAUUUCCGUUGCGAUUGAAUUUUUACGAAGCCCGCGACGUAAUGGCGGGAUGUGAUUCAAUGCGAUUCAACGUAUUCGAUCAAAAAACAAGACAGAUACGCCGACAUUGGUCCGCCAGACGGUCUGCCGACUUUGAGUAAUAUUGAUCGGUGAGCGACGUUUACCUUGCAUAUUUUGACAAAUUCGCACUGGCCCGACUAAAUGCGCCAGCUGGAUACAAUCGUCGUUUCUCAGAGGACACCAUAUCGAAGACAAUAAAACUAGUUUUAUUGGCUUUAAGGAAAGUGUAAAUUAAUGUCUCUAAUAUCAGAGCGCGACGAUGAGCGACGAUUUCGGAUGAAUUUGUCGACAGCACAGGAUAAACUUUCGCGAGGAAGAUUUUAGGUUUAUUGCCAGACUGCGGUACUUUUUGUUUAAAAAAAAAAAGUGCAUUCCAUUGUAUGCAUUCAUAAUAUGACGCAAAUUUGUAAAAAUGAAACAUACGGGAAGUUGAUAUAUCAAUCACAUACUCGUACGGCCAUUCGGAAUUUAUAACGAUCGCUGCGCAUACCGGUUAUCUAGAUCUGUAGCUGUUGUUGGCAAAAUGAUUUAUGAAAGAUAUAAGAUAUGAAUUAUAAUAUCAACGCAUCCGCUUUAGUCACGACGCGAGAUAGCGGAGGAGAGGUAUUAAGCCGAGAAGUAUUUCGCGGGGCUUCGAUACUGGUUUUCAGCCACGCUGAAAUAAUUGAAAUCACGCGUUAACGAAAUUGAAAUCUCACCUAAAAUGCAUAAGCGCACAAAUAAGCAGAUAUGCACAGAGAGAAAGUCCGACACGUUCAGUCGCGAAGGAAGAAAUCUGUCAACGCGUGAUUUCAGUCUCCCAUCGCGGACGUAAAUAAGCAAAAAAUAAGCAUAAAUCGCAACGCGUUAUCUCGCACUAUAUAUAUGGUAUAUAUAUAGAAACGUCGUUGCCAAGUGAACUUCUAUAGGAUUACCCAUCACGUGUAAAAGCUUAUGCAAUAUCCAUGCAGUGUGCGUGUGUGUGAAUUACAGGCGAACGUGUAUCGAAUAAAAUCACAUGAAAAUAGCGUACGACGAUAUUAACGCAAAAAGGAAUCAAUAUUAAGCAAUAUUAAGCUAGAUAUCGUUCGGUCAUCAAUACAUAUAUAUACCUACGCGCGCCUCGUUACGAGGACGAGUGCGAAAUGUAAGUCGGCGCAGGAUUGCUCCUCGGAGGAGGAGCAAGGAAAUCGCACCGUGACCGGAUAUACGGCGAUAAAACCGAAAGUGGCGUGACGUAGUCCGCGCCCCGGGUUUCCCCCCACAACCAUACCUCCUCUUUCCCCUCCUCCUUCGUCUGUCGUUCUUCUCCACCUCUUCCUCCUCCUCCUUCUUCUCCUCUUUCUCCUCGUCCCAUUCCGCAGUCUUUCUCUUCUCUUGCAGCGCCGGUCGUUUAUGCUCUUGCCAAGGUUGUGUUCCGUGUGACCAUGCUCAAAGCCAUGUCGUAUAUAUGCAAAGUAAAUGCAAGGUCGUUCGCGCGUGUCCCUGCUUACAGCGCGUGUGUACCAGCCUUCGUGCGUGCGUGCGUGCGUGCGUGCGGACAUACCGUGCGUGCGAGCGCUCGAGCGCGCGCGCGCGCGCGACUUGUCGGGCGCGAGUAGCGUGCGAGGAGCGCGGAAUGACGUGGCUACGGUCUUGGCAAAAAUUGCCGACGUUUCGACGGAAAGCUCGGCUGCUUGACCGAGACAAAACUAGGCCUUGAAGUGUCGCGAAGUACCGGGCGGGCGCACGCCGCGCGCCGUCGUCGCGCGCCCGCCGGAUUUUGCGUCCGAACGGGAUCGCCAGAGCGAAAUCUCACGAGACGCAGCGACGAUUGCCCGUGUGAAAGCAGUCAAACCACGAUUUCAUAUUGAAUUGUUAUUAAUGUUCUCUUAUUACACAAGUAAAAAAUAAUUCUAGAUAAAUGUAUUAAAAACUACAACGCUUCAUUCUAUAUCGACUCAAUGUUAGUUGGAGUUAUAUCGUGACGUUUAAUUAUUCUACUCUUGUUCCAAUUUAAUUUUUGACAAUUUUUGAAAUUGAAAUAAUAAACAAAUUGAUAAAUAAAUUAAGUGUUUAUGGAUAAAUUAGAAUUAAAAAUUAUAGGGAAGAUGAUACAAUAUUAUAGCUACUCGUAAUAUCGUUAUUAUUAGGUAGAGAAUUCUAGCUAUUGUUUAUAAAAUUUAUUGUUUAGCAACAGUUUAUGUAUUAAACAUAUUUGCUUAUAUUCUGCAAUAUUUUCUUUUUAUUUUGACUAAAUAUACAAUUUCAUAACGAAACGCUGCGUUUUCUCUUAUCGAUCCAUUAUGCAGUGUCAUCACAUUUUUAUAAAUAACAAAAAUAUUAAAUAUUUAUAGAUAUUGAAUCUAGAAUCAACAUAUCUUGAGUAACAUAUUGACAAAUAGAAAUGUUUUAACUAUUUUUAUUUUAAAAUAUAAAUUAUUAACAAGGUUAUUGCACAAAUAGGCUAUAAUAUCACCUUUUGCUAUACUGAAUUCUAAAAACAGGAAACUGAUAACAUUGAUAAUUCCUUCGCACUCAGACAUUUUCUGUAUUUUUGUAUUCGUGAAAUCACAAUUUAGGAAAUAUAAUUAAAAAAUUGAAAUAUAGUUGAUUGAAAUAGUAAAUAUACGACAGACUAUAUAACAACAUUUUUUUUCUUUAAUAUGCUUCACGUAAUUAUGGAAUACGAUGAAAGGAAUUUUUAGUAUAAAUCUGCGAAUAAUAUAAUAGGUAUCGUAGUGAGAGCAAAAUGAUGCUUCGUACACUUUGCGUUCCAAGUAUGUAAAGUAAAGGCUAAACCUUGAAUGAUAUUUAUUGGCCUGUUCUGCAUACUAGAUUCAAAAAUAGCUGAUUCAUUGUACGUAGUAGUGUGACUUUCAUUCACGUAACAAUCCGCACACGUGGAUUCUGAAUCCGCAUGCGAGAAACCUCAAUGUCACCGUGAUUGUUAACAGAAAUCCGCAAGUUAAUCUAUUGGUUUAACAAUUUACUAAAAUAGAUAUGUAAAUCUCGAGAGAUGCAUUUUCUUAUGAAUAUUAAAUAGCGAGGGUGAGAAAUACGGUCAGGGGCAGUUCAUAUAUUAAUAAUUUAAUAAAUAAGAUAAGAUAUGCGACUAGACGGAAUUAGAAUCUGAAUGUUUAAUCAAUAGAGCGCGGAAGUAGAUAAAUUAAAUUGGAAAUUUAAAAGAAAAAAAAUUUCCCACAUUUUCUGCAAAUAGUAUUGUAAUGUAUUGUAUAAUGUAUAAUAUUUAAGCAAUAGAGAAAUAAAUACAGAAAUAUCACGAAGAGGCAGUUGUGAUUUAAUGUCUGAAAAAAAAAAGAUGCCCAUUAGCGAAGUAGCGAGGUCUAGAGAAUAUUUGUCUAGUGCGACAGGAUUUUUUUUAAUUUUUAUGACUCGAAUAAUAAAAUUUUAAUUUGUAAUAUCAUGUAUUAAUUAGAGUUUUGCAGAAGUAGAUGCAUUUUCCAUUGAUAUCGAAAUACGCAACCUUAUCUCGAGUCGUUUGCUCGAAGAUAACAAGGCAGCAGUGUAUACAUUCUUAUCGGAUACCUAUAUCCUCAUUAGAUGUGACUGAGAUAUAUUUAGUCUAGAUGUAUCAAAUGAUAUCAGAAACUAUAAUACGAAUUGAAAACUCCAAAUAAUAAUAAGUAAUGUCAAUUUUAUGAUUUAAAUAGUAAACGUGCUAAACAUGGACGCAUCUAACACAAUUAAACGUAAAUUCUUUUCAAUUUUAUUUUCCGUAUAUGUAACCGUAUAUAUAUUUCUGUAUGUGUAUAUAUAACUGAAGCUCAUGUAUUAUGUAAAGCGAGAGAGUCAAAGAGAUAGAAAGAGAGAACACAGUUCUUUUCUAUAAAUAUAUGAUGAUGACUUUUGCAAUGAACAGCAUCUAUAUUUUGUCUUAAGCGAGUGAAGGAAAUCCAACUUGUUGUUUCAAUUAAUUAUCAGGGCGGUGCCCUUUUCCCCCUUACACACAUCACCCGUUCACAUAAAGGCGCAAUUAUACUGAAAGUUAAAUAAAGAUUUCGAUUUCGGGCUGACGGAGAGAGGCCGCGAUUACACUCCGAAGAGACUUUUAUUCGACUUUGCCGGCCCGGAUCACGCGGCAAGAACGCGCGCGUCCAUCUACGUGCAGACGGCGGUGUGUGCGCGGUACACACGCACUGUAACCACGCCGGACUACCUGGAUGUGCUCUCGGGCUCCAAUGGUCCGCAUUCCAAAAGUCAAGGACUCUCUCUCGAAUCCCGAUCCGGACGUCGGAGGCGCCUCCUCUCUUUCCGCCACGUGCCUCGCCUUCUCAGGUCUCUCUCUCUCUCUCUCAUUUUAUCGUGUCUUUCCUCGUUCCCAGCCGCGAGCGAGUGGCCGAGAAAAGUGCUUACGACCUGGCGAAUCAUCCCGAGUAUCCCCCAUUGUAUAACACGUUUGAUCGAUGAGCAACUUACCGAGCCGAGCGUCGGACCCUUGAUGAAAAAAAAAAAAAGGACAACGAUCGAAAUAUCGUUGCUACAGACGUCGUUACGUCGAAUUAUCGGUGUAAAUACUGACCGCGCGAACUCGAUCGCGUUCCGGAUGAAUUUACAGCGGACGAUUUUUCUUUCUUUUUUUUUUUUUUUACCGAGAAUCGUCGAUAAAAUUCUCCCGGCAACGUGAUGCUUCGAUGAGGAAAUCGAUUCCCUGUUAUCUUCCUAACGACUAUCAUUGGCUCGAUUAUUGAAUGUAAUAAUAUGUUAUUAUUACAUGUUGAUGUAACAUUAAUGUGUAACAACUUUGUUCGAAGCGAUAUGCAAAAAUCUUAAAUAGAAAUCAGAAAUUUUUAGAAAAAAAAUUUUGAUUUUUAAAUUUUGUUUUUUCAGCGAAAUGUAAAAACGUUAUAUCACGUUAAAAAAAAUGGCAAAUUAAAUAACGCUCGCUCACAUAGGAUACAUAUUCAUACGUAUAAUAUGUAUUAGUUCAAUUCAAUUUCAGUGGGGACUAAUGAAAAAUUAAUUACAAUUUGUUCAUUAUUUUGCAGCGUUAUAUUGGUCAUAAUGAGCCACAUGUAGCAAUUUAAAAAAAAAUCGUGGCGCAUUAAUCGUGACCUACACUCGUCGAUUUGUUGCUAAACCUUCGGUUAGUCUCGGCAUUACGGGCCAUCCUAAAAACGAGUCCCGAAAGUAGAUUGCGCCGCGCAAGGUUUGCUGAUUAAAAUCGGAGAGACCUCGUCGGAUAUACCUUAAUAAGGAAAUCGUACCUUGACGGACAACCGGUGCGACAAUGGCGUCGCGAAACGCACUUGGCGGCGAAGUCGGUAAUCCAAGGAUACGGUAAGGAUACGGUUUUACGAACCACCAAAUAUAGUUACCUGCAAAAUAAAAAAAAAAA
Molecule: long non-coding RNA, 22717 nt
Organism: Monomorium pharaonis (pharaoh ant)
Lineage: Eukaryota; Metazoa; Arthropoda; Insecta; Hymenoptera; Formicidae
Exons: 2
Source: RefSeq, a predicted model, not a curated record